RNAcentral lists this ribosomal RNA (253 nucleotides) under uncultured bacterium. RNAcentral's name for it is "partial 16S ribosomal RNA". It matches the Rfam family "Bacterial small subunit ribosomal RNA", at positions 524 to 776 of the family's 1533-position model. The record is from RNAcentral.
UACAGAGGGUGCGAGCGUUGUCCGGAAUCACUGGGCGUAAAGGGCGCGUAGGCGGUCUCUUAAGCGUGUGGUGAAAGCCCGGGGCUCAACUCCGGGUCGGCCGUGCGAACUGGGGGACUGGAGCUUGUCAGAGGCAGGCGGAAUUCCGGGUGUAGCGGUGGAAUGCGUAGAGAUCCGGAAGAACACCGGUGGCGAAGGCGGCCUGCUGGGCAGUAGCUGACGCUGAGGCGCGACAGCGUGGGGAGCAAACAGG